GAUGAAGAACGCAGCGAAAUGCGAUAAGUAGUGUGAAUUGCAGAAUUCAGUGAAUCAUCGAAUCUUUGAACGCACAUUGCGCCCCUCGGUAUUCCGUGGGGCAUGCCUGUUCGAGCGUCAUUUACCCCUCAAGCACUGCUUGGUGUUGGGCGUCUGUCCCGCUUCGCGCGCGGACUCGCCCCAAAGGUAUUGGCAGCGGUCGUGCCAGCUUCUCGCGCAGCACAUUGCGCUUCUCGAGGCGGUCGAUCGGCGUCCACGAAGCUCACCUCCACCGUUUGACCUCGGAUCAGGUAGGGAUACCCGCUGAACUUAAGCAUAUCAAAGCGGAGGA
RNAcentral lists this unclassified non-coding RNA (331 nucleotides) under soil metagenome. RNAcentral's name for it is "partial contains 5.8S ribosomal RNA, internal transcribed spacer 2, and large subunit ribosomal RNA". The stretch from base 1 to 120 matches the Rfam family "5.8S ribosomal RNA", at positions 35 to 154 of the family's 154-position model. The record is from RNAcentral.